Molecule: ribosomal RNA, 375 nt
Filed under: uncultured bacterium
Lineage: Bacteria
Description: bacterial SSU rRNA
Rfam family: Bacterial small subunit ribosomal RNA
Source: RNAcentral
AUACAGAGGGGGCUAGCGUUGUUCGGAAUGACUGGGCGUAAAGGGCGCGUAGGUGGCUCUACAAGUCAGAUGUGAAAGGCCUAGGCUUAACCUGGGGAUGGCAUUUGAGACUGUAAAGCUAGAGUCCGGGAGAGGAUAGCGGAAUUCCUAGUGUAGAGGUGAAAUUCGUAGAUAUUAGGAAGAACACCGGUGGCGAAGGCGGCUAUCUGGAACGGAACUGACACUGAGGCGCGAAAGCGUGGGGAGCAAACAGGAUUAGAUACCCUGGUAGUCCACGCCGUAAACGAUGAGUGCUAGACGUUGGAAGGUUUACCUUUCAGUGUCGCAGCUAACGCAUGAAGCACUCCGCCUGGGGAGUACGGUCGCAAGAUUAAA